UUUGAGUUAAAAACAAAAAUCGAUGGUAAGUAAAUGAGACCUUUAAGGUACGGAUAUCCAAAUUAUGGAAGGAUCCAUUAUCUGGAAAACCUCAGGUCCCGAGCAUUCUGGAUAACAGGUCCCCUACCGUUACUACUGAUUUGGAUGCCCUGUGGCUGAUAUGUGUUAUUUGUGUCUGUUACUAUCACCUGAUUCUUAUAUUGUGUAUUUUAUUCUACAGCUUCAGCUCUUACCUGUACAUUUUGCAAUCAGCAAGGACCCCCCCCCUGCACUGGCCCGAGCGUUACUGCAGACUGUCCGGCAGGAACCGUUUGUUCCUCAGUGGUAACUUUUAGGUCUUCAGGUCAAGUAAACAGUACGAUUAUGUAUGGAGGAUGUGUUCAGGAACCGAUGUGCAACACGCCUAUUGUGUAUCAGUAUACUACCUACAAAAUAAUAGAAGAGUUCUCCUGUUGUUCCACUAAUGGCUGCUCUCCGCCAGUACUCCCAUUGCCAGACACUAAUACUCAGCCAAAUGGAUUUUGGUGUCCAACCUGCGACUCCUCAAUCUCACCCGACUGCUCUACUGGGGAGACCCUGCUGUGUACAGGGAAUGAGACCUACUGUUACUUGCAAUCGAAAU
Xenopus tropicalis (tropical clawed frog) is the source of this 622-nucleotide RNA transcript. RefSeq lists it as uncharacterized. The record is from RefSeq and is a predicted model, not a curated record. Lineage: Eukaryota; Metazoa; Chordata; Amphibia; Anura; Pipidae. The transcript is spliced from 3 exons.